UGAGGAAUAUUGGUCAAUGGGGGCAACCCUGAACCAGCCAUGCCGCGUGGAGGAAGACGGCCCUAUGGGUUGUAAACUCCUUUUGUACGGGAAUAACCACUCCUACGUGUAGGGGCUUGAAGGUACUGUACGAAUAAGCAUCGGCUAACUCCGUGCCAGCAGCCGCGGUAAUACGGAGGAUGCAGGCGUUAUCCGGAUUUAUUAGGUUUAAAGGGUGCGUAGGCGGCCCGGUAAGUCAGUGGUGAAAGUUUGCGGCUUAACCGUAAAAUUGCCAUUGAUACUGUCGGGCUAGAAUAUGGUGGAGGUAGGCGGAAUGUGUAGUGUAGCGGUGAAAUGCUUAGAUAUUACACAGAACACCGAUUGCGAAGGCAGCUUGCUAUACCAUUAUUGACGCUGAUGCACGAAAGCGUGGGGAGCGAACAGG
Molecule: ribosomal RNA, 424 nt
Filed under: uncultured Bacteroidales bacterium
Lineage: Bacteria; Pseudomonadati; Bacteroidota; Bacteroidia; Bacteroidales
Description: bacterial SSU rRNA
Rfam family: Bacterial small subunit ribosomal RNA
Source: RNAcentral